GAUUUAUGCAAGUCAAUGUACGAUUCAAGGCAACCGUGGUAUCCUUUUUGGACGGGACACGUUAAGAACGUCGAGGAUGUCAUGGACAAAUGUGUAAAUCCUGGGACAAAACUAAUCUAUGAAACUUACAACAUGAGUCCGACCUUUAACAUGAAAACAAUCCGAGAAGGGCUUUACAAAGUCCACUAUAACUUACAUGCUUUUGAUUCCGACGGUACUGAGCGGCCUACAAACAUAUGUUUCGACGUUGUUGGAAACUUACUAAAAAAAAGUGGUGUGUGACUGACGUUCCAUAAGAAAUCCAUGUGAAGACAAAAUGUCUUCCAUGCGGAAAGCUUGCUUGCAAUUGGCAAUGAAGAAAUAAACAAAGAAAUAAGCAAGAACAUUAAUUAUUUUACUAAAAUAUGUACGAAAUUUAUUAUUGGUUUAAUGCGUACAAAUUAAAGGUUUAAAUUUAUA
Drosophila kikkawai is the source of this 459-nucleotide RNA transcript. RefSeq lists it as uncharacterized. The record is from RefSeq and is a predicted model, not a curated record. Lineage: Eukaryota; Metazoa; Arthropoda; Insecta; Diptera; Drosophilidae.